Non-coding RNA from Mycena floridula, 80 nucleotides. The record is from the annotation of a GenBank genome assembly. Lineage: Eukaryota; Fungi; Basidiomycota; Agaricomycetes; Agaricales; Mycenaceae.
UCCCUGGUAGUAUAUCGGUUAGUACACGCGCCUGUCAUUUACCUUCGCGCGAAAGCGGGGUUCGACUCCCCGCCAGGGAG